UUCAAAGAAUUCGAUAUAAAAUCUUCAAAACGAAUCCGAUAUUGAUUCUU
Molecule: small RNA, 50 nt
Filed under: Arabidopsis thaliana (thale cress)
Lineage: Eukaryota; Viridiplantae; Streptophyta; Magnoliopsida; Brassicales; Brassicaceae
Description: ATSL209590
Source: RNAcentral